CAAGGUGAGAGAUACGGAGGUAGAGCACUGAAUGUCCUAGGGGGUAUUGCACCUACCGAAGACUAUCAAACUCCGAAUGCCGUCAUCUUAUACUUGGGAGUCAGACUGUGGGUGAUAAGAUUCAUAGUCGAAAGGGCAACAGCCCAGAUCGUCAGCUAAGGUCCCUAAAUGUAAGUUAAGUGGUAAAGGAUGUGGGAUUGCACAGACAACCAGGAUGUUGGCUUAGAAGCAGCCACUCAUUCAAAGAGUGCGUAAUAGCUCACUGGUCGAGUGAUCCUGCGCCGAAGAUUUCCGGGGCUAAAACUUACUACCGAAGCUACGGCAUCAGUAAUGAUGGGUAGGGGAGCUUCCCAUACGGGUUGAAGCAUGACCGUAAGGACAUGUGGACAGUAUGGGAGUGAGAAUGUUGGCAUGAGUAGCGAGAUGUGGGUGAGAAUCCCACAGGCCGUAAACCCAAGGUUUCCAGGGGAAGGUUCGUCCGCCCUGGGUUAGUCGGGACCUAAGCUGAGGCCGAAAGGCGUAGGUGAUGGACAACAGGUUGAUAUUCCUGUACUACCGAU
Molecule: ribosomal RNA, 560 nt
Filed under: Clostridioides difficile
Lineage: Bacteria; Bacillati; Bacillota; Clostridia; Peptostreptococcales; Peptostreptococcaceae
Description: bacterial LSU rRNA
Rfam family: Bacterial large subunit ribosomal RNA
Source: RNAcentral